Molecule: ribosomal RNA, 763 nt
Filed under: uncultured bacterium
Lineage: Bacteria
Description: bacterial SSU rRNA
Rfam family: Bacterial small subunit ribosomal RNA
Source: RNAcentral
GUGGCCAAUUAAGUCAAAUGUGAAAUCCCCGAGCUUAACUUGGGAAUUGCAUUCGAUACUGGUUGGCUAGAGUAUGGGAGAGGAUGGUAGAAUUCCAGGUGUAGCGGUGAAAUGCGUAGAGAUCUGGAGGAAUACCGAUGGCGAAGGCAGCCAUCUGGCCUAAUACUGACACUGAGGUGCGAAAGCAUGGGGAGCAAACAGGAUUAGAUACCCUGGUAGUCCAUGCCGUAAACGAUGUCUACUAGCCGUUGGGGCCUUUGAGGCUUUUAGUGGCGCAGCUAACGCGAUAAGUAGACCGCCUGGGGAGUACGGUCGCAAGACUAAAACUCAAAAUGGAAUUGACGGGGGCCCGCACAAGCGGUGGAGCAUGUGGUUUAAUUCGAUGCAACGCGAAGAACCUUACCUGGUCUUGACAUAGUAAGAACUUUCCAGAGAUGGAUUGGUGCCUUCGGGAACUUACAUACAGGUGCUGCAUGGCUGUCGUCAGCUCGUGUCGUGAGAUGUUGGGUUAAGUCCCGCAACGAGCGCAACCCUUUUCCUUAUUUGCCAGCGGGUUAAGCCGGGAACUUUAAGGAUACUGCCAGUGACAAACUGGAGGAAGGCGGGGACGACGUCAAGUCAUCAUGGCCCUUACGACCAGGGCUACACACGUGCUACAAUGGUCGGUACAAAGGGUUGCUACCUCGCGAGAGGAUGCUAAUCUCAAAAAGCCGAUCGUAGUCCGGAUUGGAGUCUGCAACUCGACUCCAUGAGGUCGGAAUCG